UUCCGGUUGAUCCUGCCGGACCUGACUGCUAUCGGAUUGGUACUAAGCCAUGUGAGUCAUUGUAGCAAUACAAGGCAGACGGCUCAGUAACACGUAGUCAAUCUACCCUAUGGACGGGGAUAACCUCGGGAAACUGAGGAUAAAACCCGAUAGAUCAUAGUGCCUGGAAUGGCUUAUGGUCCAAAUGAUUCGUCGCCGUAGGAUGGGACUGCGGCCUAUCAGCUUGUUGGUGAGGUAAUGGCCCACCAAGGCUAUUACAGGUACGGGCUCUGAGAGGAGAAGCCCGGAGAUGGGUACUGAGACACGGACCCAGGCCCUAUGGGGCGCAGCAGGCGAGAAACCUUUGCAAUGUGCGCAAGCACGACAAGGUUAAUCCGAGUGUUUCCUGCUAAAGGAAUCUUUUGUUAGUUCUAAAACCAUUAAUGAAUAAGGGGUGGGCAAGUUCUGGUGUCAGCCGCCGCGGUAAAACCAGCACCUCAAGUGGUCAGGAGGAUUAUUGGGCCUAAAGCAUCCGUAGCCUGUUCUGUAAGUUUCCGGUUAAAUCCAUUAGCUCAACUAAUGGGCCGCCGAAAAUACUGCAAAACUAGGGAGUGGGAGAGGUAGACGGUACUCGGUAGGAAGGGGUAAAAUCCUUUGAUCUAUUGAUGACCACCUGUGGCGAAAGCGGUCUACCAGAACACGUUCGACGGUGAGGGAUGAAAGCUGGGGGAGCAAACCGGAUUAGAUACCCGGGUAGUCCCAGCUGUAAACGAUGCAGACUCGGUGAUGCGCUGGCUUGUGGCCAGU
This 786-nucleotide ribosomal RNA is filed under the name uncultured archaeon. Its description in RNAcentral is "bacterial SSU rRNA". It matches the Rfam family "Archaeal small subunit ribosomal RNA", at positions 1 to 794 of the family's 1478-position model. The record is from RNAcentral.